This is a small RNA of Verruconis gallopava, 72 nucleotides long. It matches the Rfam family "bZIP non canonical Hac1/Xbp1 intron". From Rfam's summary of the family: bZIP intron RNA is a non-canonical intron that was first reported in HAC1 gene in yeast and XBP1 gene in Metazoa. Lineage: Eukaryota; Fungi; Ascomycota; Dothideomycetes; Venturiales; Sympoventuriaceae. The record is from Rfam.
GGAAGAAUUCGACCGGACACAACAAUCUGCAGCAUUGUUGUGCAAGACCUGCAGUGUCAGUCGGUUUAUUCC